RNAcentral lists this non-coding RNA (24 nucleotides) under Arabidopsis thaliana (thale cress). Lineage: Eukaryota; Viridiplantae; Streptophyta; Magnoliopsida; Brassicales; Brassicaceae. The record is from RNAcentral.
GUGUCACCGAUGAAGGUGCUCUGA